RNAcentral lists this transfer RNA (73 nucleotides) under Anguilla anguilla (European eel). Its description in RNAcentral is "tRNA-OTHER". Lineage: Eukaryota; Metazoa; Chordata; Actinopteri; Anguilliformes; Anguillidae. The record is from RNAcentral.
UCUGCUGUGGCCUAGUGGGCAAGGUUACAGUCUUGGAAACACAGGGUCCCAGGUUCAAGCCCAGCUAGGAACA